CCUACGGGAGGCAGCAGUGGGGAAUAUUGGACAAUGGGGGGAACCCUGAUCCAGCCAUGCCGCGUGUGUGAAGUAGGCCCUCGGGUUGUAAAGCACUUUCAGUGAGGAAGAACGCCUGGUGGUUAAUACCCAUCAGGAAAGACAUCACUCACAGAAGAAGCACCGGCUAACUCCGUGCCAGCAGCCGCGGUAAUACGGAGGGUGCGAGCGUUAAUCGGAAUUACUGGGCGUAAAGCGCGCGUAGGUGGCUUGAUAAGCCGGUUGUGAAAGCCCCGGGCUCAACCUGGGAACGGCAUCCGGAACUGUCAAGCUAGAGUGCAGGAGAGGAAGGUAGAAUUCCCGGUGUAGCGGUGAAAUGCGUAGAGAUCGGGAGGAAUACCAGUGGCGAAGGCGGCCUUCUGGACUGACACUGACACUGAGGUGCGAAAGCGUGGGUAGCAAACAGGAUUAGAUACCCGAGUAGUC
Molecule: ribosomal RNA, 465 nt
Filed under: Vreelandella stevensii
Lineage: Bacteria; Pseudomonadati; Pseudomonadota; Gammaproteobacteria; Oceanospirillales; Halomonadaceae
Description: partial 16S ribosomal RNA
Rfam family: Bacterial small subunit ribosomal RNA
Source: RNAcentral